RNAcentral lists this ribosomal RNA (463 nucleotides) under uncultured bacterium. Its description in RNAcentral is "bacterial SSU rRNA". It matches the Rfam family "Bacterial small subunit ribosomal RNA", at positions 34 to 518 of the family's 1533-position model. The record is from RNAcentral.
CGCUGGCGGCAUGCCUAACACAUGCAAGUCGAACGGGGGUAGCAAUACCCUAGUGGCGAACGGGUGAGUAACACAUAAGCAAUCUGCCCUUCACAGGGGGAUAACAGCGGGAAACUGCUGCUAAUACCGCAUAAGACCACGGUACCGCAUGGUACAGGGGUAAAAACGAAUCAGUGGUGAAGGAUGAGCUUAUGUCCCAUUAGCUAGUUGGUGAGAUAACAGCCCACCAAGGCGACGAUGGGUAGCCGACCUGAGAGGGUGAUCGGCCACACUGGAACUGAGACACGGUCCAGACUCCUACGGGAGGCAGCAGUGGGGAAUAUUGGGCAAUGGAGGAAACUCCUUACCCAGCAAUGCCGCGUGAGUGAAGAAGGUCUUCGGAUUGUAAAGCUCUUUGAUUGGGGACGAAGAAAGUGACGGUACCCAAAGAACAAGCCCCGGCUAACUACGUGCCAGCAGCUGC